GCAGGUAACAGUUCAAAUUAAUAACCCAAAUUCCCAAUCAUUACCUAUCACGGUAUCAAAUCUCAGACAUUUUUUGAAGUGUCACAGUGUUUGCUGCAAUACUACAGAAAGAAAUAAGCAUUGAGACAGUUAGGUGUGUAUCUGUUCUUGUUAUGUAUGAGAUGUUGUUAAUCACUCUGUGUAGGCAGUUCAUGACGGUCAUGGGUGGCAUCAUCCAUCAGGUUCAUGUCAACAUGGAUGUUGGAGGAAAUGCCUAUGGGACUCCAAGAGCUCCGCAUGUCAAGGGGCAUUAUUGUCCUAAAAGAGGGCACCGCCAUAAUGGAACAUCACUGCCAUGAAGGUGUGCACAUGGUCUCCAACAAUCUUUAGGGAAUGGUGGACAGGAAGGUCACUUAGAAUGAUAAAUUGGGGUGUUUGCUCCAUUUGUUACUCACUGAAUCGAAGACAUUAUGUCAAGCCGAAUAAACCCACCGAUGCUGGAUAACUUUUAUGCUUUUCUCAUGCUUUCUGUGGCACUGUGGUAAUUAACAGAGUAACCAGUCUCUCCCUCUCUCAUCCCACUGGCUGGGCUUCGUCACAGAGGCCAG
Long non-coding RNA from Cyprinus carpio carpio, 587 nucleotides. Lineage: Eukaryota; Metazoa; Chordata; Actinopteri; Cypriniformes; Cyprinidae. The record is from Ensembl.